Molecule: unclassified non-coding RNA, 161 nt
Filed under: soil metagenome
Description: partial internal transcribed spacer 1
Source: RNAcentral
GUGAAUAUAGCGCAUCUCUUCGGAGAGCGUGACCUCCACUUUCAACUCUGUGCAUUUUUUGGCGAGGGAACGAGACGAAGCGACGCAAGUUGCAGACUCUCGCCUCUUGCGGCUCAUUUUAAACACUGGUUAAAGUAUGUAACGAAAUAUCGAAACAAAAA